Molecule: transfer RNA, 72 nt
Filed under: Loxodonta africana (African savanna elephant)
Lineage: Eukaryota; Metazoa; Chordata; Mammalia; Proboscidea; Elephantidae
Rfam family: tRNA
About the family: Transfer RNA (tRNA) molecules are approximately 80 nucleotides in length. Their secondary structure includes four short double-helical elements and three loops (D, anti-codon, and T loops).
Source: Rfam by way of RNAcentral
GCCCUGGUGGCUCAGUGGUUAAGCAGUUGGCUGCUAGCCAAGAGGUUGGUGGUUUGAACCCACCCAGUGGCU